This is a long non-coding RNA of Ipomoea nil (Japanese morning glory), 252 nucleotides long. RefSeq lists it as uncharacterized. Lineage: Eukaryota; Viridiplantae; Streptophyta; Magnoliopsida; Solanales; Convolvulaceae. The transcript is spliced from 4 exons. The record is from RefSeq and is a predicted model, not a curated record.
AAAUGCAUAGAUCUAGUGGAGGAAGCUGUAACUCUUCCAGUUCAUCAACUACAAGGCGAAAGGUAUAUGGUGAAUGGAUUUCGAUUCAAGUUUGUGAAUGUGGGCAAGAAAUGGUUUUGAGAACAUCUUGGACCAAUGAGAACCCGGGAAGGAGGUACUGGGAAUGUUUAGGAUGCAAGGAUGGAUUCGUGGCUUGGUUCGAUCCCCCAAUGUGCCCUAGGUCAAAGAAGAUUAUACCGGGCUUAUUGAAGA